GACGAACGCUGGCGGCAUGCCUAACACAUGCAAGUCGAACGGUAAGGCUUUCUUCGGGAAGUACACGAGUGGCGAACGGGUGAGUAACACGUGGGUAACCUACCCUUGACUGGGGGACAACCGAGGGAAACUUCGGCUAAUACCGCAUAACGUGCAUUGCCUCAAGGUGGUGUACCAAAGCUCCGGCGGUUAGGGAUGGGCCCGCGGCAGCUUAGCUUGUUGGUGCGGUAACGGCUUACCAAGGCGACGAUCUGUAGCUGGUCUGAGAGGACGAGCGGCCACAGUGGAAGUGAGACACGGUCCAGACUCCUACGGGAGGAGGCAGUGGGGAAUCCUGCGCAAUGGGCGAAAGCCUGACGCAGCAAUGCCGCGUGAGGGAAGACGGCCUUGGGGUUGUAAACCUCUUUCAGCAGGGACGAACACAGACGGUACCUGCAGAAGAAGCCCCGGCUAACUACGUGCCAGCCGCCGCGGUAA
Molecule: ribosomal RNA, 477 nt
Filed under: uncultured bacterium
Lineage: Bacteria
Description: partial 16S ribosomal RNA
Rfam family: Bacterial small subunit ribosomal RNA
Source: RNAcentral